AUGCUAAAAUUGCAAUAUGGGAGGGUAAGGAAAUGGGCUAGGCACCAGAUUAAUGGACCAGCAUGGGCACACAGGCAACCAGGAAGAGCAAUGAGAGUACAGGUAGAGGAAGAGAUUAGGGACACACUUCCUGUUGGGUUUAAUAUUAAUUGCAGAGUUGCGGCUGUUCUCCCCCUGACCACAAAUGAACACAAACGAAUGCAAGAAUUUCCGAAUGCCAGCUGCUGGCUGCUAAUGCCUGUACCUAGCCAACACUUGAUCUUCAGACUUCAGUUUAACCAACACGUCGGAGAGGCAGGCGCGGCACCGUCGGCGAGCACCGGCGACGAGGUGCAGAAUUAG
Molecule: ribosomal RNA, 342 nt
Filed under: Triticum aestivum (bread wheat)
Lineage: Eukaryota; Viridiplantae; Streptophyta; Magnoliopsida; Poales; Poaceae
Description: partial small subunit ribosomal RNA
Source: RNAcentral